This 343-nucleotide ribosomal RNA is filed under the name uncultured bacterium. RNAcentral describes it as "bacterial SSU rRNA". It matches the Rfam family "Bacterial small subunit ribosomal RNA", at positions 987 to 1329 of the family's 1533-position model. The record is from RNAcentral.
UCCUCUGACACCCUAGAGAUAGGGCGUUCCCCUUCGGGGGACAGAGUGACAGGUGGUGCAUGGUUGUCGUCAGCUCGUGUCGUGAGAUGUUGGGUUAAGUCCCGCAACGAGCGCAACCCUUGAUCUUAGUUGCCAGCAUUCAGUUGGGCACUCUAAGGUGACUGCCGGUGACAAACCGGAGGAAGGUGGGGAUGACGUCAAAUCAUCAUGCCCCUUAUGACCUGGGCUACACACGUGCUACAAUGGAUGGAACAAAGGGCCGCAAAACCGCGAGGUCGAGCCAAUCCCAUAAAUCCAUUCUCAGUUCGGAUUGCAGGCUGCAACUCGCCUGCAUGAAUCGGGG